Molecule: transfer RNA, 62 nt
Filed under: Mytilus trossulus (common blue mussel)
Lineage: Eukaryota; Metazoa; Mollusca; Bivalvia; Mytilida; Mytilidae
Description: tRNA-Arg
Source: RNAcentral
UGCUUUUAGCCAUUGGCAGUUUGAUUUCGGCUCAAAAAGAGCGGGCAAAACCGCAAAAGUAU